GUCGACCGCUCCGCCUUCUCCCGCCCGGACUCUCUCUCCGACGCCUCCUUGCGCGUCCGCAAGAACUUCGCCUACUUCCGCGUCAACUACAUCGCCCUCCUCGCCGCCGUCCUCGCCCUCUCCCUUCUCUCCCAUCCCUUCUCCCUCCUCGUCCUCUUCGGCCUCCUCGCCGCCUGGUGCUUCCUCUACCUGUUCCGCCCCGCCGAUCCGCCUCUCGUCCUCUUCGGCCGCACCUUCUCCGACCGCGAGACCCUUGGCGCUCUCGUCCUCCUCUCCGUCUUCGUCAUCUUCCUCACCUCCGUCGGAUCCCUCCUCAUCUCCGC
RNAcentral lists this long non-coding RNA (323 nucleotides) under Phoenix dactylifera (date palm). RNAcentral's name for it is "long non-coding RNA (PDAC_LNC003442)". Lineage: Eukaryota; Viridiplantae; Streptophyta; Magnoliopsida; Arecales; Arecaceae. The record is from RNAcentral.